CGGAACCUUGUCGAUGAGAUAUCCCUUUGCGUUAUGCGUUGUUGUUGCGGGUUGUGAUGUGUUCUUUGCCUCUUCUCGAGCGAGAGCUGAUACAUGCAAUAGCAUUGACGUUAUGCAGGUCUGCAGAGCAAGGACAGGUGGUGUUGAUUCGAAGAUGUAUAGGUACAUCUGAUCUGAGUUCGUUCGGGGCGCGGACGCCCUCGGCAGGCCUCUGACCGUCCGGCACGCGCUUAACGACCAGCUUAGAACUGGUACGGACAAGGGGAAUCUGACUGUCUAGUUAAAACAUAGUGUUGCGAUGACCAGAAAGUGGUGUUGAUGUAAUGUGAUUUCUGCCUAGUGCUCUGAAUGUUAAAGUGAAGAAAUUUAACCAAGUGCGGGUAAACAGCAGGAGUAACUAUGACUCUUAAGGUACGGAGUACCUAGCUAUGUAUCUAUCUACUAUCUACUAUCUAGUGAAACUACAGCCAGGGGAACGGGCUUAG
This 485-nucleotide non-coding RNA is filed under the name Trichophyton benhamiae CBS 112371. RNAcentral's name for it is "Arthroderma benhamiae CBS 112371 Eukaryotic large subunit ribosomal RNA". It matches the Rfam family "Eukaryotic large subunit ribosomal RNA", at positions 2009 to 2388 of the family's 3401-position model. Lineage: Eukaryota; Fungi; Ascomycota; Eurotiomycetes; Onygenales; Arthrodermataceae. The record is from Rfam by way of RNAcentral.